CAGUAGCCGCGGUAAUACGAAGGGUGCAAGCGUUAAUCGGAAUUACCGGGCGUAAAGCGUGCGUAGGCGGUUUGUUAAGUCUGUUGUGAAAUCCCCGGGCUCAACCUGGGAAUGGCAAUGGAUACUGGCAAGCUAGAGUGUGUCAGAGGAUGGUGGAAUUCCCGGUGUAGCGGUGAAAUGCGUAGAGAUCGGGAGGAACAUCUGUGGCGAAGGCGACUAUCUGGGCCAACACUGACACUGAGGCACGAAAGCGUGGGGAGCAAACAGGAUUAGAUACCCCUGUAGUCCCUGUCUCUUAUAC
This 301-nucleotide ribosomal RNA is filed under the name uncultured bacterium. RNAcentral describes it as "partial 16S ribosomal RNA". It matches the Rfam family "Bacterial small subunit ribosomal RNA", at positions 509 to 807 of the family's 1533-position model. The record is from RNAcentral.